UAAUAUGUAUCUCUUCUGUUUUAGAAUAACGAUGAGCUAAUUCAGGAAGCCUGAAGUCUCAUCUGUUAAUCUACACCUCACAGCCUUUUCCAUCCUUCUCAUCUUCACGUCUCACUCUGACACGAGUUGUUGCUGCCUCGGAAAUCCUUACCCGCUAUUUAAAAAUGAAGCUCAAACACCUUGAAACACGAGUUUUGCAUGUGAAGCUUCGUUGUAAUGUCGAAGGCAAACUAAGAAGUCAGCCUCAAACGUGCAGCAGAGACGUCUUUCCUGUUUGUGGGUUUUUAACUGUCGGGGUGCACAGCGCGUCACACAAAUGCCCGUGGGAACAUCCGGCGAUGCAGAGAUGUCGGUCAGUAAAAGCUGUGGCUGCAGAACGGACCACUUCCCGUCUCUGAAGGGACGCGGCAGCCGCACGUCGCCUCGACACUUGACACUUCGGUAACAGACGUAUUUUGACAUACUCUUAAUUUGUUUGUUUGCUUGUCCUGUUGUAAAUAAUUCCUUCUGAUUCUCACAUCUAAGAGGCUUCAUGUGGGCUUUUUAUCAGAAUGAGAAGGUAAGCACGCCACAGAAUACCUGUGUUAAGGAUCCAUCAAAUGUAGGAACCACAUUAAUUUAAAACUGGUGGAAGAUGUUAUGCUUGUUUUUGGAGAUGUGAUGUUCAGGGAGAUGAUCGGGGUUGAACUAACAAAUGAGGAGGUUGUAAAGCGGAGCUUUGCUGAACAGGUCCUUACACGUUCAACACUGCACAGCGUUUCCUUAAAUGACCUCUGCAUGAAAGCCUCUCUGGAAAUAGUCACUCGGCGCCGAAGGCUGUUGAAUGUGGUUUCUCAACAUGUUUAGCGAGUGGUCAACUGUCUCUCACAUCAAUAAGCACAAAGUGUCCUUCAGUCAGAGGGAACUUCUCAAGGCAGCGAGGAAACGAUAGAAGAUAAAUACUUUCAUCCGUUUUCUGAAACGGUCUGUAACUUUCGUUCUUUACUUCAACAUUUGUUUCAGUACAUGAAAGAAUAAAAUGUGUCAUUUUAUGCGUUAUAACAGAAAAAUGAUCGCAAUCGUCGGGAUCUUUGCGGCUCUGGCAACAACAUCUCUGGCAAAAGGCUCCAUUGAAUGCAGUUUUUCUGAACCAGGAGCUCGGUGCUUCGGAGUGACGGGACAGCGGCUCAUUUUUCAUCUGGGAAACACAUCAAAUGUCACAUCAAAUAUUAGGCUGAUUAAGGACAACAACGUUAUUAUUUUUAAAAUAUCAAAAAAUAAGAUAGUGAGUCCAAAUAAAGAAUACGUGACUGAUCCUGAACUCUUGGCCAACGGAACGGUGUCACUCGGCAGAGCCGGAAGGAGCCACUCUGGAGAUUACCUGCUGGAGGAGUUCGCAUCUGAUGGCGUUUGUGUGAAGAAAGUCACCGUGCAUCUCCAAAUAAAAGAAAUAAAAGAUCCGUUGCCCGGGGUUACCACGGUUGUGGCGCCCGGUGUUUGUCUGCUCCUGAUCGCCGCUGUGUGUCUCUGUCUUGGUUUGAUGUGUUGACAGGAUGAUAUGCAAAACUGAUAAUGUUGUUCUAUGACUUUUUAAAGAACUAUUAAGGGUUUAGGAGGAGGGGGGGGGCAUAAAUCCAAAGUGCUUAUGUUUUAAUCUUUUAAGGACCAAAUCCUUUUUGAUAAGAUAAUCAGCCAUAUUAUGGAGUACAUAUAAAAUAUGCUCUGUAGAUUUAUGCUUAACCUGUAUUAUAAGAGGUACAACGUCACACCUACAAGGACGUAACCACGCAUUCCUUGUGGGGGUCGUGUCCCCCCCAAUAUACAGCAGAAAAUAUGUAAAAUAUACGUUCUCCUUUUAUGAACCCUGUCUAUGGAUUGGUCUCUUGUUUAUGUCUUAUUUAUUUUCAAUUCAUUUCAGUUUGUUGAGAAAAAAGAAAGUGUGUGAACCGCCCUCCCAAUUUGUACACUUGUGUGAUUUCGUUUGAAACCAACUUGCGUCGCUCUGCGUUGUCAUGGUUACAUCACUUUUUCGUCAUUCAGUUGAGAGCAAAUAAAGUAACGUGAGUUGACUGGAGGAAGGUUAAAAAGAGCAGAAAACUCCACCAGCAGGGGGCAUAAUUACACUAUUGCUUUAGAUGUGAAUUCAUAUGGUCAAUGUAAUCCUUGAAACUAUGUUCGCAAUGUGCAAAUUUUCAUUUAUAAAUAUAGAAUUGUAGGCAAUGAACUUAACAACAAAAAAAUUACGGGGUAGGGUAUUCAUUUGGACCCCCCCAUGUCUAAACCAGGGUUACGCCCCUGCCUUUAUAUGUGCAGGUGUUCUUUGUUUUUCUUAUUUUUAUAUGUACAUGUCAUAUAAAACUGUAAAACGCUGCAUGUGCAUGUUGGUGUAAUGUAACGCACAGAAGGGACAGCAGUCCUGCAGGAGAUGUGAGGCCCAAGUGCAGGUGGACACUUGUUGGGGUGAUUUAUGGCCUCAGAGGCCGUGAGGCAUCUUUCCUUCUCCGUGCUUUGUUUGGGGCUUUCCUUAAUCAAAGGGACAGUUCCACCGGAGAACACAGCUGUUGGUUUUUGGGGUGGUUCAUGCUGGACGUGGAGAAGCUGUACAUUAAGAUCUCCGGACUACGUUUUCCCGAAGUUCUCAACACUUUUGUCUCCGGUUUUGUUGGACAUUUUAUUAUUUUUGUGUCCCUGUUCCGAAGUAAAUAAAAUAAAUAAAACACA
Long non-coding RNA from Gasterosteus aculeatus aculeatus (three-spined stickleback), 2700 nucleotides. RefSeq lists it as uncharacterized. NCBI's taxonomy places the organism in Eukaryota, Metazoa, Chordata, Actinopteri, Perciformes, Gasterosteidae. The record is from RefSeq and is a predicted model, not a curated record.